AACCAUAGAAACCUGCGGAGUACCUGCGGAGGGAUCAUUACAGAGUUGCAAAACUCCCUAAACCAUUGUGAACGUUACCUAAACCGUUGCUUCGGCGGGCGGCCCGGGUCCUUCCCGGCGCCCCUCGGCCCUCGCGGGCGCCCGCCGGAGGUAAACCAAACUAUUGCAUUGUAUGGCCUCUCUGAGUCUUCUGUACUGAACAAGUCAAAACUUUCAGCAACGGAUCUCAGAUCGGAAGAG
This 240-nucleotide unclassified non-coding RNA is filed under the name soil metagenome. Its description in RNAcentral is "partial contains 5.8S ribosomal RNA, internal transcribed spacer 2, and large subunit ribosomal RNA". The record is from RNAcentral.